RNAcentral lists this ribosomal RNA (619 nucleotides) under uncultured bacterium. Its description in RNAcentral is "partial 16S ribosomal RNA". The record is from RNAcentral.
CAUUUCCCGGGAUGGUUUCCGCUGCUAGGCAUUUGACCAGACUCUCCUACUAGUCAGUGUGGCCCCUGACUCUGUGCCGGGCCUGAGGAUGCCCUCCGUCGUCACCCCUUAUAACCUGUUACCCCCCUUGGGACUAGGUCGGUACGGCGCACACACUUCUUCCGGAAGCCCAACAUUUCGUGAAAGUCUCCCCUCCUUCCGGACAACCGAUUAUAGGUUGUCCUAACUGCAAUGGGAGUCUUCUUCGUGGCCGUUUGAGGCACGGUCGUCGGCGCCAUUAUGCCUCCCACGCUCGCAAUUAGCCUUAAUGACCCGCAUUUCGCGCGCAUCCGCCAACCCUUUCAACCUACACUUUCGGGACCCGAAUUGGACCCUUAACGUAGGUUUUGAAGGACCGAUCUCAUGUCAUCUCCCACUGCCUUAAGGGCCACAUCGCCACUUUACGCAUCUAUAGCCCUCCUUGUAGUCACCGCUUCCGCCAACGGACCUGACUAUGACUGCGACUCCACGCUUUCGCACCCCUCGUUUGUCCUAAUCUAUGGGACCAUCAGGUGCGGCAUUUGCUACUCUUGAUCGGCAACCCCAGGAACUCUGGAAUCACCGCGUCGAUUGCGUGAUU